UUAAGUUCAGGGGGUAGUCCUGCUCGAUUGGAGGUCAAAGUGUAUUAGAUUAAGAUUUGUGGUAAGCCCAUCCCGACCAGGCGUCCCCAUUGAAAGUGUGAGCUUAUGACAACGGGUCAAACCGCCAGUACAAAGGUACAGCUUGUUGCAAUUCAGCGCAGCCCGAGGUAAAUCGGGCAAAGGCGCCAAGAUCCAAACCC
Molecule: unclassified non-coding RNA, 200 nt
Filed under: soil metagenome
Description: partial internal transcribed spacer 2
Source: RNAcentral